RNAcentral lists this ribosomal RNA (425 nucleotides) under uncultured bacterium. RNAcentral describes it as "bacterial SSU rRNA". It matches the Rfam family "Bacterial small subunit ribosomal RNA", at positions 356 to 773 of the family's 1533-position model. The record is from RNAcentral.
GGGGAAUCUUGGACAAUGGGCGCAAGCCUGAUCCAGCAAUGCCGCGUGGGUGAAGAAGGCCUUCGGGUUGUAAAGCCCUUUUGUUUGGGAGCAAAUCCUUGGUGUUAAUACCGCCUGGGGAUGAGAGUACCAAAAGAAUCAGCACCGGCUAACUACGUGCCAGCAGCCGCGGUAAUACGUAGGGUGCAAGCGUUAAUCGGAAUUACUGGGCGUAAAGCGUGCGCAGGUGGUUUUGUAAGACCGACGUGAAAGCCCCGGGCUCAACCUGGGAACUGCGUUGGUGACUGCAAGACUAGAGUGUGGCAGAGGGGGGUGGAAUUCCGCGUGUAGCGGUGAAAUGCGUAGAGAUGCGGAGGAACACCGAUGGCGAAGGCAGCCCCCUGGGCUAACACUGACACUCAUGCACGAAAGCGUGGGGAGCAAAC